CGGACGGGUGAGUAACACGUGAGCAACCUGCCUUUCAGUGGGGGGACAACAGUUGGAAACGACUGCUAAUACCGCAUAACGUGCCGGAAGGGCAUCCUUUUGGUACCAAAGAUUUAUCGCUGAAAGAUGGGCUCGCGUCUGAUUAGAUAGUUGGUGAGGUAACGGCCCACCAAGUCGACGAUCAGUAGCCGGACUGAGAGGUUGAUCGGCCACAUUGGGACUGAGACACGGCCCAGACUCCUACGGGAGGCAGCAG
This 256-nucleotide ribosomal RNA is filed under the name uncultured bacterium. RNAcentral describes it as "partial 16S ribosomal RNA". It matches the Rfam family "Bacterial small subunit ribosomal RNA", at positions 99 to 354 of the family's 1533-position model. The record is from RNAcentral.